Molecule: small nucleolar RNA, 79 nt
Organism: Ailuropoda melanoleuca (giant panda)
Lineage: Eukaryota; Metazoa; Chordata; Mammalia; Carnivora; Ursidae
Source: Ensembl
CUGGUUACAUGAUGAAUAAAAUCAAAUCACCAUCUUUCGGCUGAGCUCCUGAUGGAUUUGCUUUUUUCUGAUGAAACUG